GGCUUCAGCGACCCGUGGCUCUUGGCUUCGAACAGGAAAAAGUGAGGAGGAGCCGAUUCGCGCCUCUGACAGUGGAGACAGACGUCGGCCUGGAUAUAAACACAUACCUGUCGACACUAUGCCCCCGAGGAUAAGCGACUCGCCUGCCUGGUGUUUUCUGAGCCGGCGCUGCAGCAGCAAGACACUCUGCCGCCUGGCGGCGCAACUGCCAACAAGACACUCUGGCCUGGCGGCGCAACUGCCACCCUGCAGUGCAACCGAACACUGGGUGUUGCUGUGCUGCGGUGUAGUCUGGUGCACCGGUAGCUAGACUGUGUCGUAGUGCGAGCGAUGGGAGUUCAGACUGUUUCGUAGUGCGAGCGAUGGGAGUUACACUGUGCCGCAGUGUGUCGCGGGCGGCCCGGACGAUCCGGCCUGUUGAGGAUUAUGUCGCGAGACCGGGACCUGCACCGACCAAUACACGCGUGGACUGAG
This is a long non-coding RNA of Amphibalanus amphitrite, 474 nucleotides long. RefSeq lists it as uncharacterized. The record is from RefSeq and is a predicted model, not a curated record. The transcript is spliced from 2 exons. NCBI's taxonomy places the organism in Eukaryota, Metazoa, Arthropoda, Thecostraca, Balanomorpha, Balanidae.